GUGGGAGCAAAGCUUGCUCGCGAUACAGGCGCCUCGGUUUCUGAAAUACCGAGUGUCUCCAUCGCGGGCAAGCCUUGCUCCCAC
Molecule: unclassified non-coding RNA, 84 nt
Filed under: Pseudomonas kilonensis
Lineage: Bacteria; Pseudomonadati; Pseudomonadota; Gammaproteobacteria; Pseudomonadales; Pseudomonadaceae
Source: RNAcentral